CUAGGGUGUAGAAUUAUAGGCAGGGUUUCUCCCUGGGGUGUAGAAUUAUAGGCAGGGUUUCUCCCUGGGGUGUAGAAUUAUAGGCAGGGUUUCUCCCUGGGGUGUAGAAUUAUAGGCAGGGUUUCUCCCUGGGGUGUAGAAUUAUAGGCAGGGUUUCUCCCUGGGGUUUAGAAUUAUAGGCAGGGUUUCUCACUAGGGUUCAGGAUUUAAGGUAGCUAAGACAAGUCUAGAGUUGAAUAUUUAAAGUAGAGUUUCUCCAUAGGGUUAAGAUUUGGGGGAGGGCAAACCUAGGGUUUAGGAUUUAAGGUACCUAGGGUAAGCCUAGAGUAGGGUUUCUCCACAGUGUUUAGGAUUUGGGGGAGGACAAACCUAGGGUUUAGGAUUCAAGGUAGCUAGGGCAAGUUUAGGGUUUAUGAUUUAGAGUUUAUCUGUAGGGUUUAGGAAUAGGGUGAGGGCAUGCUGAUAAAUUUAUUCCCAGAGCAUAUUAAGCUGUGCUACACUAAGUGCUUAAGGUUAACUCUAAAUGUCUAGGAUCAGGUUAAUAUCCUAAUCUCAAUAUAUUUGAUAUUUUGGUAUUUAUUAGAAUCCCCAUUAGCCGCUGCAAAAUAAUCAGCUACACUUCCG
This 624-nucleotide long non-coding RNA is filed under the name Salmo salar (Atlantic salmon). RNAcentral's name for it is "lncRNA (ENSSSAG00000084734.1)". Lineage: Eukaryota; Metazoa; Chordata; Actinopteri; Salmoniformes; Salmonidae. The record is from RNAcentral.